GCGACCCCAGAUCAGGCGGGACUACCCGCUGAGUUUAAGCAUAUCAAUAAGCGGAGG
This 57-nucleotide ribosomal RNA is filed under the name Pleuropterus multiflorus (tuber fleeceflower). RNAcentral's name for it is "Fallopia multiflora partial 26S ribosomal RNA". RNAcentral also lists the same sequence under 10 other names. The record is from RNAcentral. Lineage: Eukaryota; Viridiplantae; Streptophyta; Magnoliopsida; Caryophyllales; Polygonaceae.